AAUAUUUGACAAUAGUCACGUAUUAAUUCGGUAAAAUAUAAAAAAAAUUAGAAUGAUUUAUGUCAGUCCACAUAAUGUGAGAAAUAAAUCUAACAAUCUCCCACUUGGACGGCAGAAAUCACUCUAAGGAUAAAUUUAAAAAUAAAAUAAGAUUUUGAAAACAACCGAAUUAAUCAAUAUGUGACUAUAACAAAAGGUCAAAUGCAAGCAAUCACCCAAAACAUAAAUAAGUCCAAAAUGUGCCCAUAAAUAUCAAGUCAUAUGUGCACCGACAUGAUGCUCCACAUAA
This 289-nucleotide long non-coding RNA is filed under the name Citrus maxima (pomelo). RNAcentral's name for it is "long non-coding RNA (CMAX_LNC001446)". The record is from RNAcentral. Lineage: Eukaryota; Viridiplantae; Streptophyta; Magnoliopsida; Sapindales; Rutaceae.